RNAcentral lists this transfer RNA (76 nucleotides) under Escherichia coli. RNAcentral describes it as "tRNA-Lys". It matches the Rfam family "tRNA". Rfam says of the family: Transfer RNA (tRNA) molecules are approximately 80 nucleotides in length. Lineage: Bacteria; Pseudomonadati; Pseudomonadota; Gammaproteobacteria; Enterobacterales; Enterobacteriaceae. The record is from RNAcentral.
GGCCCUUUAGCUCAGUGGUUAGAGCAGGCGACUCUUAAUCGCUUGGUCGUUGGUUCAAACCCAACAGGGGCCACCA